RNAcentral lists this unclassified non-coding RNA (2433 nucleotides) under Manduca sexta (tobacco hornworm). RNAcentral's name for it is "sodium/hydrogen exchanger 7, transcript variant X7". The record is from RNAcentral. Lineage: Eukaryota; Metazoa; Arthropoda; Insecta; Lepidoptera; Sphingidae.
UUUUCGUUUUGCCUUGGUUUUGCCAUACUACUUUGCGAUUGUGUCACUGUGUGUGUUGUGGACUGUCAUGGUGUAUUGACUAUUGACCAUUUUUCACGACGGAAAAUAUAAUUUUCAAAGUCAUAUCCAUGUAAUGUGUGAUUAGUUAAUUACCGUCGUUAAUAUAACUAAUUUAACAAUUACGCUCUAUAAUUAAUAGUGGGAAGAUUGACUUGAAAUGAUAUAAUUAAAGCUGUAUCGACAUAAAAAUCAUGAAUCCUAUCCUGGGUUUCGUUUCUUUUCUUUUUUAUUUUGUAGCUGUAUGUCAGGGAUCAGGCACGGAUAUUGAGUUAGAUGCGAAAGCGACGUUGUUACAUCGAAUAGACAGUUUGAAUCUGUUGAUAUAUACAUGUCUUCUUACUCUGACCGUUCUUACUAUAUGGGUUUUCAAGCACCGUCGAGUCAGCUGGCUUCAUGAAACAGGACUGGCCGUAAUAUAUGGUCUGAUUGUGGGUGCAAUAAUUCGCUAUGCGGGCAGUUCAAAUCACAUCACCUACAUUGAUGUGUCCCCUAAUGUGGACACAAAGUACAACUUGUCUGUACCACCAGACAUGUUACGUUUCCACUUUCCUGAUAAGAUUCCAAUAUCACCUGGAGAUGCUCCAGUGCCAAACAAGACCUACGCCUACAGCUUUAGAGGAGAAAUAGUCAAUGUGGAACAGAACGAAAUAGAUUUGAAGGCAACAUUUGAUCCUGAGAUAUUCUUUAACAUUAUUCUACCUCCUAUUAUAUUUCAUGCUGGAUACUGUCUUAAGAGGAAAUAUUUCUUCCGCAACUUGGGAGCCAUUUUGACAUUCGCGAUGGUUGGUACUGCUUUGUCGGCUCUAGUCAUCGGAUCUCUGAUGUACGGGUGUGUUCAACUGAUGCCAGCGUCGUUGGCAGCGAGUUUCACUUUCCUGGACACCCUGUAUUUUGGUGCAUUGAUCUCGCCCACCGACCCUUUGACUGUUCUUGCCAUAUUUUCACAAUUGAAGGUGGAUGUGAAUUUAUACGCGAUGAUAUUCGGAGAGAGCGUGCUCAAUGACGCCGUUGCCUUGGUGCUCAGCGGAGCUAUACAAAACUACGAAACACGAUACUCUAAAGAUGGCGGAUUCGAAAUAACGGCAUUUUUGGGUGCGAUCGGCGAUUUCAUAGGAAUCUUCAGUCUUUCUCUACUCGUCGGUGCUUUCAUGGGCUGUUUGACUGCAUUGAUGACGAAGUUCACGCACGUCCGCGAGUGGCCGCUGCUGGAGUCGGCGCUGUUCGUGCUCAUGUCGUACGCCGCCUUCCUCAUCGCGGAGGUCUUCGAGCUCACAGGUGUGGUGGCGGUGCUGUUCUGCGGCAUAUGUCAGGCGCACUACACAUACAACAACUUGUCGUCGGACUCGCGCAACCGCACCAAGCAGCUGUUCGAGCUGUUGAACUUUCUGGCCGAAAACUUCAUAUUCACGUACAUAGGCGUCUCGAUGUUCACUUUCCCGAAACAUCACUUCGAUCCGUGGUUCAUCAUCGCUGGUUUUAUAACGUCGACUCUCGGCCGCGCUAUCAACAUCUACCCGCUUUCGUUUCUGCUGAAUCUGGGACGCAAGCCGCCCAUACCCAUGAACUUCCAACACAUGCUGUUCUUCUCAGGUCUGCGCGGCGCGAUGUCGUUCGCGCUGGCGAUCCGCAACACGGUGUCGGAGGCGCGGCAGGCGAUGCUCACCACCACGUCGCUGAUCGUCAUCGCCACCGUGGUGCUGCAGGGCGGCGCCGCCACGCACGCGCUCGCCUACCUGCGCAUACCUACAGGGCAAGGGCAAAGCGAUGAGAAUGAAGCGUUGCCUUACCGUGACGUCAGAAGUCUCUACCAGGCCACGGACACCGGUGGACCGCCCACCGAACUAGGUUUCGGCCUCAGAAACAUGGAUGGCACGCAACCGGCUAGUUGCGACAGAGCAGUAAGACUAAUAUUAUAAAAUGCACGCAAUAUUUACUUCACAUGUGUUAACUAGCAAGACUAACAAUUAACAACGUGUUCCCACUACAAAUUACCUUCUCUCUGCACUAUUUAUAAUUAAAUUGCAUGUUAUAUUUAAAAUCGUACACUUAUCGAAUACCAGUCUAACAUUUUUUUAAAACACUAAAGUAUUUUGUAGUGCCAACACUAAGUGCAAUGACCUCGGAUAUAUUAUAAUUUGCAUCGUUUCGGUUACGUUUAAUCAACAACGCGACGCUGUAUAGAAUUCUCGAAUGUUCUUUAAUCGAAUCGACGUUCUAUCCGGUGUCGUGGUGAGCAUGUUACACUCACUUUAUGGCUUUCUUUGGUUUCCUUUUAAUAUCUAGCGAGGCCGCAUGGUAGUUAAGUGGUCUAAUGGCGCGAAGGAGGUGAUUAUGCCUUGGCAACUAAACAGUUACGACGAGACGCCGCACGGC